This 63-nucleotide transfer RNA is filed under the name Oplurus cuvieri. RNAcentral describes it as "partial tRNA-Leu". Lineage: Eukaryota; Metazoa; Chordata; Lepidosauria; Squamata. The record is from RNAcentral.
CUCAGACUCCUCACCACUUUUAAAGGAUAAAAGAAAAUCCAUUGGUUUUAGGACCAAAAAUCU